This 507-nucleotide long non-coding RNA is filed under the name Phoenix dactylifera (date palm). Its description in RNAcentral is "long non-coding RNA (PDAC_LNC016327)". Lineage: Eukaryota; Viridiplantae; Streptophyta; Magnoliopsida; Arecales; Arecaceae. The record is from RNAcentral.
UUGUGAGAACCGCACAUGUCGUUGAUGUUUAUUUGCCUCCUCAUAUUUUUCAACUAGCCAGAAAAUAUGGUUCGACCAAAUUAACUGUUGAUUUAUUUUUUCUGCAGCUUUCUUAUGAAAACAGAAAGCACACUAGGAUCUAUAAAUUUUUAUUUCCUUAAAAACGUGGCGCACAUGCCAAUUGAAACAAUGUGCGUCCUCGUACGCAACUGGCUAGAACCUGACAGGCCUUGAGUGCCGUCUCUUUCUCUCCUUUUAUUUUUUAUUCUUUUAUCAUUAGAGUCAUGGUAAAUGUAAUAGGAGAGAAGUACUUAUCUAGUUUCAUAACACUGAACGGGAGCCCCCAUGUUGUUUUAGAGUCUAAUUGAUGUGGUUAGAUUAGCACGAAGUAUACCCCCGGUUUUCGCAAUUUGGUGAGACCAAUCAUGCCCCCAAAAGAACUAGGCUCACGUGUAGAGAGAGAGAGAGAGCCGGCACGCCUUCCUGGUCCCAUCAUUGCAUCUUUCG